AUAUCAAUAAGCGGAGGAAAAGAAACCAACCGGGAUUGCCUUAGUAACGGCGAGUGAAGCGGCAAAAGCUCAAAUUUGAAAUCUGGUACCUUCGGUGCCCGAGUUGUAAUUUGGAGAGGGCAACUUUGGGGCCGUUCCUUGUCUAUGUUCCUUGGAACAGGACGUCAUAGAGGGUGAGAAUCCCGUGUGGCGAGGAGUGCGGUUCUUUGUAAAGUGCCCUCGAAGAGUCGAGUUGUUUGGGAAUGCAGCUCUAAGUGGGUGGUAAAUUCCAUCUAAAGCUAAAUAUUGGCGAGAGACCGAUAGCGAACAAGUACAGUGAUGGAAAGAUGAAAAGAACUUUGAAAAGAGAGUGAAAAAGUACGUGAAAUUGUUGAAAGGGAAGGGCAUUUGAUCAGACAUGGUGUUUUGUGCCCUCUGCUCCUUGUGGGUAGGGGAAUCUCGCAUUUCACUGGGCCAGCAUCAGUUUUGGUGGCAGGAUAAAUCCAUAGGAAUGUAGCUUGCCUCGGUAAGUAUUAUAGCCUGUUGGGAAUACUGCCAGCUGGGACUGAGGACUGCGACGUAAGUCAAGGAUGCUGGCAUAAUGGUUAUAUGCCGC
Molecule: ribosomal RNA, 595 nt
Filed under: Saccharomyces cerevisiae (brewer's yeast)
Lineage: Eukaryota; Fungi; Ascomycota; Saccharomycetes; Saccharomycetales; Saccharomycetaceae
Description: eukaryotic LSU rRNA
Rfam family: Eukaryotic large subunit ribosomal RNA
Source: RNAcentral